This is a non-coding RNA of Osmia lignaria (orchard mason bee), 1366 nucleotides long. The record is from RefSeq and is a predicted model, not a curated record. NCBI's taxonomy places the organism in Eukaryota, Metazoa, Arthropoda, Insecta, Hymenoptera, Megachilidae.
UCACAAUCUUUUCGCGAAACACGUAGCAUAUGACAAAAUGUAACGCGUUAUGCAGCUGAUACGAUAAAACUGUAUUUUUGACGUAUCGACAAUUUUUGAUCGACGGAAGGUGCUUAUCAUAAAAAAUAACAGUGAUUUCCAGUAAAAAGAGUAGUCGAUCGUGGAAAUGCAUGGAGGAAUAGAGGAAUUGUCGAUUUUUCCAGUUUUCCAAAUUUUAUUACGUCGUCUAUUUAAAAACUUAUUUUUCAUGAUAAGCACCUUCCUUCGUUCAAAAACUGAAAAGUAUUUGCGAUUUCUGGAAAAAAAGACAUGAAUCAUGAAAAUACGUGGAGAAGUAGCGAAAUUAUUGAUUUUUUCAAUCUUUUAAUAUUUUACGGCGUCAUCUUUAGAAAAAUUUAUUUUCCACGAUAAGCACUUUUUCUUGUUCAAAAAUUGAAAAGUUUUUGCGAUUUCCAGCACAAAGAAAGGUCGAUUACAAAAAUUCAUGCAAUAAUAACCGAAUUAUCGAUUUUUUCGAUUUUAUACAGUUUUAUUGCGUCUACUGCAUAACGCGUUUUCUUUCGUCAUAUACACCGUAUGUUGCCAAAAAAUUGAUAAGUACGAAAGAUUGCCAAUAAAAAGAAAUGUCAUUAUCGUACUAUAUUGUCAGACUAUUCGUAAUUAAUCAUGUCCUCGUUAAUAAAGUACCUUAUAAAUGCUUUCUAUUCUGGAUUAGGAAUUUCAAAAGUUGUCAAAAGAUAAAAGUAUUGUAUUUAUGUAUAAUGUUUUCAGAACUGGAAAUUGACAUAUUUGUUCUUGGAUUUUCAAUCAGCAAAUAUGUAUCUGUUUUUUAAUAUAAAAUUAUUAUUAUUAUUUCAUUUAGUUAUGUAAUAUAUGAAGUGCUUGGUUGAAGAAGGUGGACGUCCUGAAAUCUGCCAUUGCAUAUAAACAAAUAGUCACUGAUUUGUAUAAAUGCUUCUGCAUAAAAAAUAUAGCAUAUAUAUGACAUAUAUCUAUAUAUAUAACUCUAAAAUAGUGUCAAGCAUAUGAUAAAGUGCAUAUAACGGUAUCAAUCGGGAGACAUACUCUACAAGAUGCAAAAGGUUUCGUUCCGAUCGGUCCAUCCAUUUCGGAGUAAUCGAUAUUGAGUAUGCAAUAAAAUACCAGGACGAAUAACAGAAAUAUGUUCUCAAAACAGAAAUGCAAUUGCGUUCUUGCAAGAUAUAUCUGGAAAUAUGAUUAAGUGCUUGAUCAGACAUAGAAGGAGAAAUGGCAACAAAGAUAUUAUGGAGUAAAAGUAUUAAAUAGAUACACUGAAGAAAUUAUCCAAGCAAGACGGGUAUUAUAUUAGAUAAGUUUACUUAAAAACAAUGUAACGCCAACAUAU